GUCUAUGCCCAUACCAUCCUGAACACACCAAUCUCAUCUGAUCUUGGAAGCUAAGCAGGAUUGGGCCUGAUUAGUACCUGGAAGAGAGACAACCUGGGAAUGCCAGUUGCUGUAGGCU
Molecule: ribosomal RNA, 118 nt
Organism: Peromyscus maniculatus bairdii (prairie deer mouse)
Lineage: Eukaryota; Metazoa; Chordata; Mammalia; Rodentia; Cricetidae
Source: Ensembl